AGUCGACGGGAUCUGACCAGCUUGCUGGUUGGUGAGAGUGGCGAACGGGUGAGUAAUGCGUGACCAACCUGCCCCAUGCUCCAGAAUAGCUCUUGGAAACGGGUGGUAAUGCUGGAUGCUCCAACUUGACGCAUGUCUUGUUGGGAAAGUGUUUAGUGGCAUGGGAUGGGGUCGCGUCCUAUCAGCUUGUAGGCGGGGUAAUGGCCCACCUAGGCUUCGACGGGUAGCCGGCCUGAGAGGGCGGACGGCCACAUUGGGACUGAGAUACGGCCCAGACUCCUACGGGAGGCAGCAGUGGGGAAUAUUGCGCAAUGGGGGAAACCCUGACGCAGCGACGCCGCGUGCGGGAUGAAGGCCUUCGGGUUGUAAACCGCUUUUGAUUGGGAGCAAGCUUUCGGGUGAGUGUACCUUUCGAAUAAGCGCCGGCUAACUACGUGCCAGCAGCCGCGGUAAUACGUAGGGCGCAAGCGUUAUCCGGAAUUAUUGGGCGUAAAGAGCUUGUAGGCGGUUCGUCGCGUCUGGUGUGAAAGCCCAUCGCUUAACGGUGGGUCUGCGCCGGGUACGGGCGGGCUAGAGUGCAGUAGGGGAGACUGGAAUUCCCGGUGUAACGGUGGAAUGUGUAGAUAUCGGGAAGAACACCAAUGGCGAAGGCAGGUCUCUGGGCUGUUACUGACGCUGAGAAGCGAAAGCGUGGGGAGCGAACAGGAUUAGAUACCCUGGUAGUCCACGCCGUANACGGUGGACGCUGGAUGUGGGGCCCAUUCCACGGGUUCCGUGUCGGAGCUAACGCGUUAAGCGUCCCGCCUGGGGAGUACGGC
RNAcentral lists this ribosomal RNA (818 nucleotides) under uncultured bacterium. RNAcentral describes it as "bacterial SSU rRNA". It matches the Rfam family "Bacterial small subunit ribosomal RNA", at positions 60 to 886 of the family's 1533-position model. The record is from RNAcentral.